RNAcentral lists this small RNA (125 nucleotides) under Marmota monax (woodchuck). Lineage: Eukaryota; Metazoa; Chordata; Mammalia; Rodentia; Sciuridae. The record is from RNAcentral.
GCUGGGCAUGGUGGCACAGGCCUGUAAUCCCAGCAGCUCAGGAGGCUGAGGCAGGAGGAUUGCAAGUUCAAAGCCAGCCUCAGCAAAAGCGAAGCACUAAGCAACUUAGUGAGACCCUAUCUCUA